GCUGUCUUAACGCAGGCAGAGGGGUGUGGCAGAUCUCCAACCGCUCGGGGUCCCGUGAUUUCCAUUAAUGAAUUCGCACACUGGCGUUACCACUCAACACACCGACGACUGCAUUGUACCAUCACUAGAAUCUAGUGCUUAAUGGCAACUCGCCCUUUCCAAAGGGUCUCAACAAGUUCAGCGAGGUGAAAUUCAGCUUUUGCCCUAUCAUCUGAAUUCACAGGACUUCCAUCUAACAUCUAAGCAAGACGAUAGACAACAAUUAGCUAAAUCUACAUUAUUGGACAUGAUGGCUAAGUAAAAAACAUCACACCAGAAUCAAGGAUUUUGGUAUCUGCAUGAGUCCUGGAAUCAAUCCCCCAGAGAUACUGAUGGGAUCUUAACAAUGACAGUAAUUGAUGGUGUGUGAAGAAAAAAGGGAAGAUCAGGAGACUUUAACCUGUGGUAUUCCCAUGUUUAGAAGCAAAAUGGGGAACAAAAAGGAAGCGAAUAACAAUCAGAAAAAUAGGAGGAUAACAAUAGUGUAAUAUCAUGGAUGCCAAAGGAGAGUUUCAAAAAGAAGAAGGCAACCAAUAGUGUCAAAUGUUUCAGACAAUUGUAAAAAUUCAAAAAUAAAAAUAUUUAAAACUUUCAAAAUAAAAUAUCAAAAUAUCAAAAUAAAAUAUCAAAAACUUUCUUGAUGCCAGGCAUUGGUCCAAGAGAUCUUUUUUUGGCAAAUCUUAAUAAAAUAUCUUAUUUAAUCUAAUACGUCCAAAAUACUACCAUGUCAACAUGUACCUAAUAUAAAAAUUAUAGUGUUUUUUUUCCAUACUCAGUCUUUAAAAACUGGUGCUUGUUUUAAACUUUCAGCAUACUCAAUUUGGACUAGCCACAUUUCAAAUGCUUAAUAGUUACAUGUGGGUGGUGGCUACUCUUUUGGACAGAGCAGCACAGAGAGCUGUGGGAGAAUUAAAGGAGGUGGUUCAUCUCUUUUAGGAGAUGCAGAAGAUAAAGUACUCAGCACAGGGCUGGUAGGUGGAAAACACAGAAGUGUUAGCCUCAUCCUUC
Molecule: long non-coding RNA, 1047 nt
Filed under: Homo sapiens (human)
Lineage: Eukaryota; Metazoa; Chordata; Mammalia; Primates; Hominidae
Description: HSALNT0377345
Source: RNAcentral